UGGGGAAUACUGCACAAUGGGCGAAAGCCUGAUGCAGCGACGCCGCGUGAGGGAUGACGGCCUUCGGGUUGUAAACCUCUUUCAGUAGGGACGAAGCGCAAGUGACGGUACCUGCAGAAGCAGCACCGGCUAACUACGUGCCAGCAGCCGCGGUAAUACGUAGGGUGCGAGCGUUGUCCGGAAUUACUGGGCGUAAAGAGCUCGUAGGCGGUUUGUCACGUCGUCUGUGAAAUCCUAGGGCUUAACCCUGGACGUGCAGGCGAUACGGGCUGACUUGAGUACUACAGGGGAGACUGGAAUUUCUGGUGUAGCGGUGGAAUGCACAGAUAUCAGGAAGAACACCGAUGGCGAAGGCAGGUCUCUGGGUAGUAACUGACGCUGAGGAGCGAAAGCAUGGGUAGCGAGCAGG
Molecule: ribosomal RNA, 409 nt
Filed under: bacterium
Lineage: Bacteria
Description: partial 16S ribosomal RNA
Rfam family: Bacterial small subunit ribosomal RNA
Source: RNAcentral